Molecule: ribosomal RNA, 19 nt
Filed under: Trichoderma harzianum
Lineage: Eukaryota; Fungi; Ascomycota; Sordariomycetes; Hypocreales; Hypocreaceae
Description: partial 28S ribosomal RNA
Source: RNAcentral
UUGACCUCGGAUCAUGUAG